This 24042-nucleotide long non-coding RNA is filed under the name Citrus sinensis (sweet orange). RNAcentral describes it as "long non-coding RNA (CSIN_LNC005133)". Lineage: Eukaryota; Viridiplantae; Streptophyta; Magnoliopsida; Sapindales; Rutaceae. The record is from RNAcentral.
AAGAAACCCCGCAAAGCGUAGGAGAAAUUCAAGAAACUUAAAAUGGAUUCUAUAGUUGAUGGAGAAAGAGACCAAAGCUUUGCAUAUGCUAGUCAAUUGGUGAUGGGUACAGUGCUACCCAUGGCCAUUCAAGCGGUGUAUGAGCUAGGCAUUUUCGAGAUCCUAGACAAAGCUGGUCCUGGUACAAAGCUCUCUGCUUCAGAUAUUGCAGCCCAGUUGCUCAAUAUCAGGGCUUAUAACUCCAUGUUUGCUUUCACAUCUAUGGGAGGUUGAGUUGAUGCAUCAAUCAAUCGAUCAAAAGGUCCUUAUGUUUUCAGGAUGAGCGGUCAGAAUUAUCAUCACAUUGGUUCUUUGUUGCCAAAAGUUGGGAAAAAACCACAGUUUGCUCAGCUUUAUAUCUAUGAUACUGAAAAUGAGACAGACAACAGAAUCAACACUCUAUUAAAACAUGGAAUGAAGACAGAAAUUGAUCACGAAAUUCUUCAUGAACUAUCAAAUUCGUAGCUAAUAAAUAGAGUUGGGCGCUCUAUUUAUGUUUAGACUGUAGUAAAGGGAUAGAUACAAAACACAACCAGAAUCUACAUUCCGUUUACGACUCCUUAAUAGUAGAGCAAGAGAUGGCCGUCGAUAUAAUAUGCCAAUAGUUUCAUAAGUUACAGGCUUAAUAGUUGGUGAUUUCAGUGAAGCGAACUUUCAACGCGAUGUUAUUAUAGAGCAUCGUACAAAGGGACUUCGAAGAAUCACAGAUUUGCAUCCAAGUUUCAUGCCCAUGACAUACCCGUUAAUAUAUCCUUAUGGCGAAGAUGGAUAUAGACCUGACAUAUCUUUAAGAGACGUAACUGAUAGCCCUUUUAAGAGGCAAAAGCUAACAAUGAGGCAAUAUUAUUGCUUUAGGUUGCAACAAAGAUUGAAUGAGGGACACACUCUACUUCAAGCUGGUAGACUAUUCCAACAAUAUAUAGUUGAUUGUUACAUGGCAAUUGAAGAACUCUGCAGCGGUAACUUCAAAUCCUUAAAAAUUGCAUAGCACAUGCAUUUUUUAUUUUGUAGAAAUAAAAAAUUUUCUAAUAGACUUGUUUUUAGAUAUUCGCCAUGCUUAAUUAUUGUUGGAAACAAUAGCUUUUAAAUUCUAACUCUAAUUAGCUUAAUAAAUACUUACUGCUAUAAUCUAAAAACCAAAUUUGUUUUAUCUAUAUAAUAAAAAGUCAUAAUAACUUUCAAAAUUAUUACGUAUUCAUACCUGCUGUACGGCCAAGGCGGAUGUACGGUACAGCAGAAAAAUUUGUUUUGAUGCAAUGUUUUGAACAUCUUUUUCUAAAACAUGUUUUGCAGCUUUGCAAUCAAUUCUAAGUAGAAAUUUUUUAUUUAAUAAAUCACUUUGGAAUUUUGAAAUGCAUAAAACAAUCUGCUGUACGGCCAAGGCGGAUGUACGGUACAGCAGAAUUUUUAAAUUAAGUAAAAAACCAAAAAAAAGUUAGCUUAAUAACUUAAUGACUGAAAACUUUUGCUAAGUUGAAAAAGUAAACGAACUUAGUGACUUAAUUGAUUGAAAUUAAGUUAAUUAAGUCACUAAGUCAAAAAAGAAAUAGCCCUUGAGCUUUUGUUAAUUAAUUUUUUUAUGAUAGUCAUCUUGAAACAUAAUACACGUAUUUGUAGAUUAAACAAGGGGGAAGAAAAUGCUAGCUUUCCCAUGUAGGACUUUUGUCUCAAUAAAUGGUGAAGACAACGUUUACAAUAUUCUCUUUUGGAUUCACUAUUUUGUUACAUACCAGGCUUAAUAGUUGGUGAUUUCAGUGAAGCAAACUUUCAACGCGAUGUUAUUAUAGAGCAUCGUACAAAGGGACUUCGAAGAAUCACAGAUUUGCAUCCAAGUUUCAUGCCCAUGACAUACCCGUUAAUAUAUCCUUAUGGCGAAGAUGGAUAUAGACCUGACAUAUCUUUAAGAGACGUAACUGAUAGCCCUUUUAAGAGGCAAAAGCUGACAAUGAGGCAAUAUUAUUGCUUUAGGUUGCAACAAAGAUUGAUGAGGGACACACUCUACUUCAAGCUAGUAGACUAUUCCAACAAUAUAUAAUUGAUUGUUACAUGGCAAUUGAAGAAGAAAGAUUUCGUUGGAUCCAGAAUAAUCAACAAAAACUUAGAUCAAACCUUUUCUCUGGUUUGAUGGAUGCUGUUCAUCGAGGUGAUUUUGAUUGUUCGAAAGUUGGAAAAUUGAUUAUUCUACCUUCAUCACACACGGGGGGACCACGAUAUAGAAUACAAAAUUAUCAAGAUACUAUGGCAAUUUGUAAAUGGGCAGGAUAUCCUGAUUUAUUUUUUACUUUCACUUGCAACCCAAAGUGGCAAGAAAUAAAUAACAUGCUCCGAUUAGUUGGACAAAAGAAUGAUGACAAUCAAGUCGAUAUCAUAUGCAGAGUUUUCGAGAUAAAAUUAUUCCAACUAAUGCAAGAUCUGAAAAAGGAUCAACCGUUUGGAAAAAUAAUUGCAUGUAAGUUCACUUCAAAUUCAUAUCCAUAACAAAUUCAACUCAUUUGUUAUUGAAAAGUGCAGGGAAGAACAAUAAUUUCACAAUUGAAAUCAAUAUUUCUAACUUUUAAAUUUUACCCCAUGUUGUGGCAGGUCUAUAUACAAUUGAGUUUCAAAAAAGAGGCUUGCCCCAUGCACACAUACUACUUUUUUUGCAUCCAACAAUGAAAAAUCCUUCUGCAGACUAUAUUGAUAAAAUAAUAAGUGCAAAAAUCUCCGGGUUAGCUUAUUUAAUUGACUGCACCACUAGUAGAUUAAUAAGUAAGAUAACUAUAACUGUAAGGGACCUUGUGUUAUUUUACAAGACUUUUUUUGCAUCCAACAAUGAAAAAUCCUUCUGCAGACUAUAUUGAUAAAAUAAUAAGUGCAAAAAUCCCUGACUUAAAUGUUGAUUCUGAUGGUUAUAAUGCAGUUAACAAAUUUAUGAUUCAUGGACCGUGUGGAAAACACAAUUCUCACUCUCCAUGCAUGAUGCAAGACAAGUGCACAAAACAUUUUCCAAAAAAACGUGUGGUGACCGUACUGGAGUUGUUGCGCGUGUCGAGGGAUUUGCAAGGGAGGUUCGAGGAAGUCGAGGUGACGAUGCUGUUAUGCCACAACUGGGACGACGUCGUUUGCGAUCUCGCUUGCAUUGAGGAGUUGUAUAAACAUGCAGCCAUUAACAAGGGUUUCUUUUGCUCCGAGUACGGCAGAGGUCACAUUAAAUUAUAGAUAUAUAUCAGCAACCGAAGCUUGCUGGCGAAUCUUCCAAUUUGACAUACAUUACAGAAAGCCGGCAGUUGAAAGAUUACCAUUCCAUUUACUGGGAGAGCAUACAGUAAUAUUCAAAGAAUCCAAGUGCUUACAAAAUGUGCUUACCAUACCUGGAAUAGAAAAAACAAAGUUCACAGAAUGGUUGGAAGCAAACAAGAUAUAUGAUGAUGUACGAGAGUUAACUUAUUCUGAUUUCCCUACAUGUUGGGAGCAAGAAAAAUAAGAGCAAUUUUUUAUUAUUUUUUCUCAUGAAACAGGUUGCAAGUUCUAAUACAAAGACCAAACUACCAAAAUCAAGAACUUUUGGGGUUAUAUUUUUCUAUUAAGAGAACGUGACACAAACGGUACACAGAGAUGUUUCCCCUUUUUGAACUCAGAAGAAAUGUCACUCUAGUCCCAAUUGAAAUAAGGAAGCAAGAGAAGCAAGUUUUCAUUAGUAUGUGAUAUUUGUAACAAGAUGUCUUCGACAUUAUUGCUCCGAUUAGUGGUAAAUUUGUGUAAUUCUGCAUAAGCCUCUGAAAUAAUGAAGUUGAUCAAGAAAGAACUAAUUGGAGAAUUUAAUUAAAUUUGCGAACAAAUGUAGUCAUUCCAUUCACAUACAGAAAGUUUUUAAUACAAAGUCCAAGCAGAUGCAUUUUAAAGAUUGUAAUAAGAGAUGAUCAAGAUUCGGUGAUAGUACUAUUCCAUAGUGAUGUUUACAGAAACACUGGUUUUAUGAGAUAGAGACGUGGCUCUUGUCUUUAUCGAUUGUGCUUUGUCAAGCUAGAGGGUUUUGUUUCUAUCAACAAUGUGUUAAUAAUGUAAUUUCUGAAUAGAAGUCAAAAUACUUUAAAAAAAUUCUUCUUUGAUAAGAGAUUCAGGUAACCGAUUGGUCAAUGAAGAGCUUGAUUAUGAUCGUGAUCAAUUAAAGAAGUUGCAUGAGAAAUCGUUUGCUGCUCUAAAUGCUUGCCAAAAAUCAGCCUAUGAAGCAAUAAUGCAUUCUGUUGAGAAUGAAAAAGGGCAUUUAUUUUUUAUCAAUGGACACGGUGGUAUUGGUAAAACAUUUUUGUGGAAUACAAUUAUUGCAAAGCUCAUAUCACAUUCUAAAAUAGUCUUGCCUGUUGCAACUUCAGGUAUAACAACUUUGUUAUUGCCUAAUGGUAGGACAACUCAUUCGUGAUUUCAUAUUCCUUUAGAUGUGACAGAAGAGUCCACUUGUGAAAUCCGACAAGGCACCUUAUUAGCUGGACUUCUUAUGAAAACUUCUUUGAUCAUUUGGGAUGAAGCGCCUAUCGCACAUAAGUUAUGCUUUGAAGCUUUGGAUAGAACCUUGAGAGAUAUUCUAAGAACAAGGUAUGAAAAUAGUUCUAUCAAACCUUUUAGAGGACUUACAAUAGUAUGUGGUGGCGAUUUCUGACAAAUAUUGCCAGUUGUGCCAAAGGGGACAAGAGCAGACAUUGUUGAUGCUUCACUUAACUCAUCCUACUUAUGGCCAUUUUUUAAAAUUUAUGAGCUCAAACAAAAUAUGAGGCUCUAUAAUGGAAGCGUGAGUGGCUCUGAGGCUGCUAAAAUAGCUUCUUUUGACAAAUGGUUGUUGCAGAUUGGAGAUGGUUCAUUAUAUGAUGACAUUGAUAGAGAUUUAGUUAAACUACCUUCUGAUAUCUGUAAGAAACCAUCAGAAAAUCUGAUGAAAUCAAUAGUCGACACUAUUUACCCAUCAAUUCGGCAUAACUACAGUGAUCUAGCAUAUUUGAAAGAAAGAGCAAUAUUAACGCCAAAAAAUGAAAUGGUGCAUGAAUUGAAUGAGAUGAUUAUGAAUAUAAUACCUGGUCAAGGGAGAACCUUUUUAGCUCAGACAGUAUAUGCAAAGCAAGCGCAAACACAAAAAAAAAAGAACUAAUUGGAGAAGUUAAUUAAAUUUGCGAACAAAUGUAGUCAUUCCAUUCACAUACAGAAAGUUUUUAAUACGAAGUCCAAGCAGAUGCAUUUUAAAGAUUGUAAUUUUAAGGAAGGUGCUCCCGUAAUGCUUCUUAGAAAUCUAAAUCAAAUAGAAGGCAUAUGCAACGGCAAAAGAUUGAUUGUCACUUGUCUUGGUAAAUGGUCCAUUAGAGGUGACAUCAUUUCUAGAACAAAUAUUGGACAAAAUGUCACAAUCCCAAGAAUUAUUAUGUCUCCGAAUGAAUCAAGAUGACCAUUCAAGCUUAACAGACGACAACUUCUGUUCCAUAGUGAUGUUUACAAAAACACUGGUUUUAUGAGAUAGAGACGUGGCUCUUGUCUUUAUCGAUUGUGCUUUGUCAAGCUAGAGGGUUUUUUUCUAUCAACAAUGUGUUAAUAAUGUAAUUUCUGAAUAGAAGUCAAAAUACUUUUAAAAAAAAUUUUUUUUAGCCUUUUGUCUGCAUCUUUGAAAAUAAAUAAUACAAGGAGCAUUUAAUUACUUCUCUCUUGUCAUUAGCCAACAAUUAUUUGAAGAUCUCAAAUACAAGGCCGGCUGCUCAAACAAUGUCAACAAAAGCUUAUCUCCUUAUGCUCUCCACUACAAUUUUUCUUUUGUUCGUUCUUUUUCGUCUUUCACCUUUCUGUGUUUACAAAAUAGAUUAUGACGGAGGCUAUAUAUUGUGUGUUUCCGUAUUCAAGAAAAUUCCUCCAAUCUCUUACGGAAACACUGUUGAACUUUCAGAUUUCAUGGUCAAUUAUAUGUCGCCCUGUCUCGAGUUACCACAAGAGAAGGAUUGACCAUACUAAAUGCCGAUCAAGAGGUAGAAGACCGAACCUUCAUAAAAAACAUUGUCUACAAAGAAGUAUUUCAAAAUAUUCACACAUCAGCUCACAAAAUCAAGGUAUCAACAUGUGAUGGUGCUUUUUAUGCACCAUGGGCCCCCCAGAGCAAGAAACUUGCUCCAGAAUAUGAAGCCGCUCCCACUGAGCUCAAGGGCAAAUCUAACACGACCCGCCCCAAACUGCAUGUUAGAAUUGAGGUGAAUUGUGCGGACUAAUAAUUUAAACUUGUAGCACAAAUUUAAUUCAUGAAAAAUAUGUAUAAAAUAUGGCCUUUCCUAUAAACACAUAACCACCUCUGUGCCUUUUCUGAAACCAUAUAUGAAUUCAAAACUUACAUAGCUUAUGUCUCAUUGUACAUACUGACAUUUCAUGUAUAUUUACAUAUAAAACAUAAGCAACAUAUCAUAGCUGCAAGCUUGAUAUAAACAACUACUCACCUACGCAGCUACAAACGAUGCGAAAUAACUUACAAAAGUCUUUACAUGUAUUUUACUUAUUUCUUUUAUAAUUCAACGCUAAGGAUCCUCAAUUACAAAAUUUAAUUUGGAACUUAUCAACUACAAAAGGUAUAAGGUCUGUACACUUAGACUAUACACGUUAAUAUUUAUUUUUAAAGUUAACAAAAAAAUAGUUAACUUUCAUAAAUAACAUUAGUUUUAUAAGGCUGCCUUAUUUAAAAAAUAAUAAUUUAUAUUUUUUAUCAGUUUUAUCAAGUGUAAAGAAAGAAAAAUUGAUAAUACUAAAUUCAUUUUCUAAAGUCGCGCGAAGCGCGGUUUUAUUUCCUAGUAUAUAUAUAUAGUAAGGCCGACAUCCUCACUUUAUUAUGCACGAGUAGAGUAGGGGAAACACCUCUCAAUACCCGGCGCAAUUUAGCUACAUCGCUUUGAUAGAGUAACCUUCACUUCCAGUAGCGAUUUCUUUCACUUCUAGUGGCAAUUAUGUGAGUUAUAGUUUGGUUCCAGCAAAUUUAUUCACUUACGAUUUUGGCGGCUUAUGUACUUUCACAAUUUGUUUCAUUAAUUUAGAAUAAUUUUUUGAUCAAUAAAAAAUAAAAAUAAAAAACAUAAAUUUUAAUAUACUAAAAGAAAAAAAUAAACUUUUUAAUGUAUUAAAUCUAUAUUUUUAUAUUUUAGUGACAUUUUAAUUUUUAAUAAAGUGAAAAUGUUUUCGCUAGAAAAGAAGGAGACUCUCUCUCUCUCUCUCUAUAUAUAUAUAUAUAUAUAUUUUAGUGCGAAUGUUCUCAUAUUUUAAAUAAGAAUUUACUAUAUUGUAUUAAGAAAUUAUUGAUCUAAACUUAGAAUUAUUUUGAAGUUAAAGAGAAGGUUGGUGUGCCCACCAAUCAAGAACAUGAGUGGUUGCUCGUGUUGCCUAAAAUUUGGCCAUGUUAAGCUUGGGCAAGGUGGGUGGCUUCCCCCCAUCAUGCCGGAAGUCGCUCAAUCACUGCUUGCAAUUAAAGCUUGUUAGUACCCAUCACCAAUUGGCUGAUGGGUGAUCAGUUCCAGCUGGGUCUGGCUGAUUAGUAGAAUGAUAUGAAGCCAUGUUUAAUUAAUUUUCUUGAAUUUCUCCCAGCCAUGCAAAUGGGUGACGACAUGAUUUGGUUGGGCAAUACAUGUUGUCGCCUGCGUUCUAGGCGACAUGAACUAAAUCUGGGCAACAGAAUUGUGUUGCCAAGAUUUGGUUGGGCGAUAUAUCAUGUUGCCCAUGUAUCGGGCAACGAAGGGCAACAACAACUGAAUCAUGUCGUCGCCUAAGUUUUCCAAUUGUAUGGGGUGGCAAUUUAGACGAAAAUUUAUUUAUUCGAUUCAAUCCAACUGGAGUCAAAUUAAAUUAGAUUUGAGUUUGAAAAUAUUCAGUUUUUUUUCUUUCGAAACAUUUAUGCCAAUGUUAUCCUAAAGAUUUCUGACUAUUUCAGUUUUGUUUUUUUAAAACAUUUAUGCUAAUACUAUCAUAAUUUAUUGCGUAGAUAUGUCUAACAAGUAGAUGCAUCACUGGUCAUUGAAGAUACCAAUUGAGGAUUAUUUCACCGAUUGCGUUUCAAAUUUAAUGAGAUUUAAUUUUUUUCAUUAUGCGUAUACAGACCAAGUUAACUGAUACUCAAUUUAGGCUAUUCAAAAAGUCAAUUUUUGGUCAUUUUCUAGCGAUGGGGGCCCCAGGAUUUAGCGACAAUUUUGUACAUUAUUUGUUUCUCAGACUAGUCAUGAAACAAGUUGAUGAUGAGUACCAAAUGUGGUUUAGGAUUGGCAAUGAGAUGUUAUGUUUCUCUCUUCGAGAAUGGUGCUUGGUGACAUGAUUGAAAUGUGAUAAUGUGGAAAAUUUGCACGAAAAACACUUGGCAAAUACGUGAUCAGUAUUUCAAUGGAGCACAAUACUUUAAGUUUUUUCAUGCUAAAUAAUUGGUCUGGCCCACACAAAUACCCUUGUAAAUAGAACCAUCAACCAUGUCUGAAGCUACCCAAUCUGAUGGCACAAUUGGAGCUAUGCUUGGAGUUUCACUUAUUUUUUAUUUUUUUAAUUGUUGUAAAUUUGAAAUGAAUUAAUAAUUAACAAGUUGUUAUAAUUAACAAGUUGUUAUAAUUAACAAUGAAUUAAAAAAAUUAAAUAUUUUAAAAUAAAAUAAUAUAUGAAGAAAAUUAAGCAAAUAAAUGCUAAAGAUUUAAUUUUUUUAAUACUAUAUUUUCUAAUUUAAACAUCAUCUUAAUUAAUUACUGCUUUAGAGAGAGAUUAAUAUUAUAAUUUUAGGUUUUGUGAAUCAUUUUGUAUUGACAACAUUGUCAUCAAUAGGAUAAUUAUGGGAGCGGAAUGGGGAGUAGUGUUUAAAGGUGGAAGUUUGAAUUGAUGGCAUCAAAGAAAGUUCUAUCGGAACUUUAGGACUUGUUGUUACAUAAAUAGAAGUGCACUCAUAGUUAAUUGGAUCAGAGUUCAUACGCAUAAUCACUCUCACCAUUUCAUCGUUCACUAUGUCUAUAGGCAGUGAAUCAAUGGGUUGCGUCAGAUGAGUUGAUUUCACAUUUGUCUUUACCAAGAGGGAAUAUUCAUCUGAACUUUUCUUCAAAAUUUCAUACAACUUUGCAAUAAAUUGUUCAAAUGUUACAUCUUUUUGAAAACAAAAUGCAGUAACUUUUCCAUUCUCAUACUCUAUACGACCAUCCUUCAAAGUCUCCCACGCUCUAUCAAAAUACAUCAUAAGAACUAACAACUAUAUUAACCUGAUGCAAAAUAAUAAUAAUACUUUAUUAAAAGCACUGCAAACAAUAAUAUUACUAUAUUAAUUAAAUAACUAAUAUUUUUAAAUUUUAAUAUAUUGUUCUAAUUAUAAAUUUAUUUUGUAAAAAAAAAAUAGAGUGCUGGGCCUAGUCCGAGCAUUUUCUCUUAAGCUCUUAUCUAAUUCCUCGCAUAGAAAGAUUGGCCGAAAGCUUGCGGGCUUGGGCCAGAUGGGCUUUUUUAUCCACCCUGUUCUGCCCAGGCGAUAGAUAAUGUCACCCAAAUUACAAGCGAUUGUAUAUUCGGUGAUAUGAGUACUAAUUGCCCAAUAUGCAGUAUUAUGUCAUCUGGGUGAUGAAUACCGGAAUCCAAGCGACCGGUACGACAAGUCAUUCUAAGUUUGGGCGAGCAUCUCAGUCACAUGAUACAAAGAUAAAAAAAUUCUCACAAUCAACUCUCACAUUCCACAAAUGGGGAAAAUAAUGAUGGUGAUAAUAUUAUGAUCGAUGUUUUUCAGUGAUCUUAUUGUAAGAAGCUUUUUUCCCAAAAAAUCAUGCAUUUGAUUGAGAUCCCACUGCAUUUACAGCAUCUCGAGGCACUUCAUCUCACAUGUUUCUUUCAACUUUGGGCGACAGGUACUUGUCACUUGGAUUUUGGGUUUCGUCUUCAACAUUGUUUAAAACCCAUUUUUUUCGAAUUUUACUGGAAUUUUACUAAUUUAUAAAUUUAUGACCUCACAUUAACUAUUUAAUGUACCCACAUUGUAGUAAAAUGAGCAACCGAUCUUUUGUAUGAAACCCAACAAAAAAAUAAAAGAUAAAUAUUGAAGAAAUACUAACCCUAACUUCUUAUUAUUCUUUAGUUUGUUGCUUGAUUUUGUCUUCAAUACUUAGAUAAAUAUAAUAGUUUGAUGAAUGUGAGAUAGAUAAAAGGGAGGUUGAGUGAUAGUUGAUAAUGUGGGAGAGGUGAAAUGAUGACUGUUUUGGUGGUGUGUGGAGAUGUUCGACUGUUGCUUGGGAGUUGGGGGUUUGUUUGCUUAGUUUUAGGGGAAUAUUAUAUUUCUCUAAGAACAUGAGGCAGACAUUGGAGUGAUGGAAGAUGAUCCAAUCAAUUUCUGUCAGGCCAUGAAAAGUUUUAACUCUCAGAAGUGGAUUGAUGCCAUGAAUGAGGAGAUAAAAUCCAUGAAAGACAAUGACGUAUCGGAUCUUGUCCCAUUGGCAGAAGGUGCGAAACCUAUUGGUUGCAAAUAGAUAUUUAAGACCAAGAGGGAUUCGAAAGGUAAUGUAGAGAGAUGCAAGGUGCGUCUUGUCGCAAACGAUUUUACGCAGAAAGAAGGCAUUGACUAUAAAGUAACUUUCUCUCUGGUUUCUUUGAAAGACUCUUUCAGGAUUAAAAUGGCAUUAGUGGUGUAUUUCGAUCUUGAGUUACUUUUACAAAGCAUAAUUAUAAGGUUACACAUAUAGCACAAGUGGGAGAUUAUUGAAUUUUUAAUCCAAUAUUGUUGGAUCCUUAAUCCAAUAUUGGGCCUAUAUGUGAAUAAUUAUGUGUUACAGACUUUAAUAUAUCUAAUAGGAUAUGGGCAUUUAAUAUGUAAAGACAAUAGAAAAAAGUUGUCUAGAUAAGUGGUUAUGGUUCUCAUGUCACACAUAUUUUUAUAUUCUUUCUGAAAUCCGAUCGUCAGAAAGAUAGCCUUGAGAAAACUUAAAGGAUUCUCUAGGAGAACGUGUAGAUUUGGAAGGCCAACCACACAAUCCUAGAGAGCAAUUCAAUGUUAUAGAUUCAGGUACACUUCCGCAUAAUUUUGUUAUUGAUUUUUUGUGAUAUAACAUGAAUAUCAUCUGUAAGGACAACUGUUGCUAGCACUCCUUAAAAUUUUAUAUAAAAAUAAGUUUUUAAUUAAUGUUUCGACAUGUGUUUCUAAUCGGGCCCUGCAAAUAAAGUAUUACUCUUUUUUUAGAACCUUACUUGUUACCUUCCUUAACAUGUUUUCUUCUGCCCAGUGGCCACUGUGCCAUACAAUUUCAGUGGAGCGCACACAGACUGACGAAAAAGUUUGAAAACUUGGUGUUUUGGUGUUGACGGCAAAGCUUGGUCUUUUGGACGUGGCCAGGAAAGGAAGCUCCGUUGGGAACUUGGAGGUGACGAUGGGUAGAGUCUAGUGCUUUGAGAGAGGCCGUGAGUUUAGACCUAGGGUCUUAUUUUUUAUUAUUUAUUAUUUGGUUAAAUUAAAAUAAAAUGAGUUAAAAAAAUAUUUUGAGUUCGAGUUUGGAGGCCUGAUAAAAUUAUCAUUUAUGUGUUCUAUUUACAAAUAAUAAUAAUAGUAUUGGCUAACAAAUAUACUUAUUAACAAUGUUAGUAAUAGAUGUUAAGAGUUAUAGUAUCAUCAAUCAUAAUGCUAGUAGUAAAACAAUAUCAUCAAGUAUUAAAGUUACAUGUAAUCAUGUAUAAGCUUCGAUAACAACUCAAAGAAAUUUUUGUGAUUUCAAAUUAGUGAGUAAAUGAAACGAUAAAAAGUAAUUUAAUUAAUUUGAUAGAAAUUUGUAUGAAAUAUUUUUAAUUAGAUAUUGUUAUCUUAUAGUUGUCCAUAUCAAGAAUUAAAUCGUAUUAUUAAUUAUAUGAGUCAUUAGUACAAAUAAUAUUAAAAACAGCAAUAUUUUAUGGACAAUAUGAUACUCGUCCCGCAAAUAAAGUUUUACUUUUUUUUUUAAACCCUACCUACCUAUAACCUACCUCUAACUAGGCCAACAUUUUUUCUUCAAUUAAUUUUAUAUUGAACGUGAAAAAUAUUGAGGACCAUGCACACAUUCAAAAAAAUUAUUGGGAUUCGAAUCAAGUCUCUAAAACCACUAAGUAACAUUUUUUCAUUUAACUCAUUCAGAAGGUGCUCAGGGCACACUUAAAAAAAAAAUGGUUCAGAGGGCUAAAACCCCUCUUAUGCUUUAAAAAUUAGAAAACUACAAAGGUUAUAAAGUUGCCUUUGAUAAAUCAAGUUGUGUUAUUGAGAAUGCAUGUGAUGGGAAUAUUUUGUUUAUGGGAAAUAGAUGUGGCAAUGUUUACACGAUUAAUAUAGAGUGUGCAUCUACUCAUGAUAAAUGUUUUUCGGCAUUGCAUGAUGAUGGUUGGUUGUGGCAUAGAAGACUAGGACAUGCAAGCAUGGAUUUAAUUUCAAAAAUUUUGAAAAAUGAUUUAGUUAAAGGUCUUCCAAAAAUUUGUUUUCAAAAGGAUAGAAUUUGUGAAGCAUGUCAAUUUAGAAAACAAAUCAAAACCUCUUUAAUGCUUCCAAAAUUGAGCUCUUUUAUAUCCUUUUUAUCCAUAAUCUCAAAUUAAUUCCCUAUUCAAUAAAAUAAUUCAAUUAAUUAAAAAUAAGAAAUAAAAUAACUAGCAAAUAUAUAAGAAAGGGUAAAAUAUGUAUAUAAAUUAUGCUCAUUAAAUACCCCCAAACUUAGAUUUUGCUAGUCCUCGAGCAAAACUAAAACUUAAAACAAAAAUAAAAACAAUGAAACAAAAAGUAAAUCCUAACUAAACUACUUUCGCAGGUAAUCGCGAAUGCAUUUAGUGUAUGCAACAAGCCUUUAAACCCCUAGACGGCCCUAGUGGACGAGUUAUAGUCUCGUGAUGGCUUUAGUGACGAUACCCACAAACAUCAUUUUUUUUAAAAAAUAAAUAAAUAAAAAUAACAACAAACUUUAAAUAAAACAUAAAAAUAGCCUCAAAGAUUGCAUAAAUUAUAUAGCUCAAAGAAAAUUUUAAAUACUGGCAAAGUUCUAAUUUUAAUUCAUUAGUCAAUCCCAUCUCUCUUUUGAUAGUUUUGAAUGACCAAGUCUAUAUUGGCAAACUCUUGAUAGUUUUGAAUGACAAGUCUAUAUAUAACCCCCUGGCCAAACAAGAAACCCCGCAAAGCGUACAAGAAAUUCAAGAAAUUUAAAAUGGAUUCUAUAUUUUCGCUAGAAAAGAAGGAGACUCUCUCUCUCUCGCGAAUGUUCUCAUAUUUUAAAUAAGAAUUUACUAUAUUGUAUAAUAAAUUCAUAUUUUAAAAAAUACGAAUAUCUGUACGUGAUAUAUAUAUAUAUAAUCAAUUGGCGAUGGGUACAAUGCUACCCAUGGCCAUUCAAACGGUGUAUGAGCUAGGCAUUUUCGAGAUCCUAGACAAAGUUGGUCCUGGUGCAAAGCUAGUACUCAUCACCAAUUGGCUGAUGGGUGAUCAGUACAUUGGAUCCAACUGGGUCUGGCUGAUUAGUAGAAUGAUAUGAAGCCAUGUUUAAUUAAUUUUCCUGAAUUUCUUAUGUGUUUAACAGCGUCAGCCGAUAGCAAAUGACCCCUAAUACAAAUAGUUCAGGACAAGGUCUUUCUGAAGAGCUGGUAAUUAAUUAAUUUCUAUUUCUCCCUUUUUCUCAGUAAAUGAUCAGCUAGACCAUGCAUGCAUGCAUGGAGCAUAUAUAUAGACGAUGCAUGAUAAAUUGGUUUUUCGGAAUUUAUUUAGGUCCCAACUCAAAGAUGCUAUUCUUGAAGGAGGAAUUCCCGGGCUGGCAAUUUGGACGAAAAUUUAUUUAUUCGAUUCGAUUCAACUGGAGUCAAAUUAAAUUAGAUUUGAGUUUGAAAAUAUUAAUUCAUUUAAUAAAUAAAUGAAUUUGAUUCAAUUUACUAAAUAAACGAAUCGAAUUCAAAUUUGUGAUCACUGGUUUAUUCUUGAAUCUUACAAGGGUUUCGACAACAUCAAGCAACUGGUCGAUGUUGGUGGUAGUCUCGGCAUUACUCUUCAAGCCAUCACUACCAAGUACCCCUAUAUUAAGGGCAUCAAUUUCGACCAGCCUCAUGUUAUUGACCAUGCCCCACCACAUCCACGUAUGAUUAUUAAUCUCAUGUUAUAUAUACGAGUACUUGUCGGGACAUUACACUAUUAUACCAUAUGCGGUAACAAUUUUCUUGCACUUUAUUAAAGUGCAACAACUCUCAUAAAUAUAUAUAUAGUCAUUCGCUAGGGUGGGCACCCUCAUUUUUUUUUUAAUGCAAACACUUUGUUGUACCGUGCGAUUUAAUAGAAUUAAUGAAGAACACCGUUAAAUCGUACGGUUUAAUAGUGUGUCCUCAUUUAUAAAAAAAAAUAAGGGCACCCACCUUAGAGAAGGACUAUAUAUAUGUGUGUGUGUGUGUGUGUGUGUGUGUGUUUUACUUUGUUAAAUUGAGAGUGCUACUAAUAAAUUAAAAAAAAAACACAAUUUCUAAUGUAUUGAAAUAUGUGUUUUUUUUUUAUAUUUUAGUAACAUUCUCAUUUUAAAAAAGUGAAGAUUUCAUUACUAGAGAAGGACUCUCUCUCUCUCUCACUACACAAAUUUUGUUAAAGUCCGAAAAAUCUAGUAAGUCAUAUGAUUUAAUAGUAUAAUGGACUAUUGAACCAUUUGAAAUUAUGAUUUUUUUUGGUUUUUAACAAAACCCAAAAUUUUGGAUUAGAUCAUUACUAUAUAUAUAUAUAUAUAUAAGGCUUCCUUACUUUAUUAAAAUAAAGGAUAAACUAAGGAUAAUACUUGGAAUGUUUGUUUUCUUUUUUCCUUUUUUUUAGAAGAUUCCUUAUUUUGGGGGCAAGUUUAAAAAAGAUACUUUUAGAAACAAAUUUCUUUCUAAUAGAGUUCAUCCAAGGAUUAAUAUUAAAGCUCACGUGUAAUUUUGUUAUUUUAAAAAACUAAUUAAUUCGCAUAGGUGCCAUAUUAUUAAAUUUAAUAGUAUAAGUAAAAUAUUUUUCUCUCACCUUUGUAUUACCCUUUAUUUCUCCCUCUAAAUUACCAGUGAACUAAGGUACACAUCCAUGUAGCCAUAAAAAAAGAUGUUAUCUACAUAAAUUUGUUUAUUAAACCAAAUGUAAAUAUUGGAAAAAAAAUGUUGGCAAUUGUUUCUACAUAUAUUUUUUUAAAGAUUAACAAAGCAUAGUCAUCUAAUCACGUUUCGAUUUACUGGAUAACUAAAGUAAACAUACAGAGAACUAGGGAAGUACUAUAUUUUAAUUUGUAGUAGUAACAUCCAUCCAACAGCCAUCAGAAUAAAAAAAAAUGUUUUAUAAUGAGUAGAGGGCGGAUUGAAGGAGAUGAGCACAUAAGUUAAAAAGAGAAAUAUAUGAAUGUCCUAAACAUGAUGUCAAGCAAAGGAAGUCUUUUAAGUGUUGUUGGACAUUCAAGAGGAAAUUAAGGACAAUGCUGAUUUAGAAUUCAGUUCAUCCGAAGAGCCUGCAACACGCAUACUCGUGUUAGCUAAGGCAGCUUUUAAUUUUAAGUUGCCUGUAAUUUGAUUGGAAGAUCUUCCUCCGAAAUGAAGUGUAAUUUCAAUCUUUGAAUGAAAUUACUUAGUUUAAAUAAAUUAAGAUGAUAAGAGAGAGGAAAGAGCGUUGUGUUUCACGUUUAUUGUUUGAUGUAGGGACUGGCGUGUAGUUAAUUAAUUUUUAGAAUUAUAAAACUGCAUGCAGUUUUAAUAUUAACCAUGUGAUAAACUUUAACCUAAUUGUUAGAAAUUUAUAUGUAAAAUUGUAUUAAAAAAAAUCCCUUGAACCUGCUCUCAUAUAUGUGUGUGUAUAAUUCUUCUGUUGUGUGUGCCAGUAUAUCAGGAACUUCCAUAACAUUGGCAUAAUUAAGUUUGAGCAAACAGUUCUUGACGUAAUACAUCUUGCUAAUGAAAAUAGAGUGGCAUAAUUCUAAUUGUCUGAUUUCUUAAUUGUAUAAUAUUUUAUAGGUAUUGAGCAUGUAGGGGGUGAUAUGUUCCAAAGUGUUCCAAAAGGUGAUGCCAUUAUUAUGAAGGUAAGUUUUUAAUUUAAUUUGCGGACAUAUUAUGAGGAGUUCCUUAAAUUAAAUUUUUACAAACAAUAGUUUGAUUAAUAUGAGAAUUUAUAUAGUGGAUACUGCACGAUUGGAAUGAUGAACAUUGCUUGAAGUUGUUGAAGAAUUGCUACAAAAGCAUCCCAGAAGAUGGAAAGGUAAUCGUUGUGGAGUCAAUGCUUCCAGAAGUUCCUAAUACAAGCAUUGAAUCAAAAUCAAAUUCCCAUUUUGACGUGCUUAUGAUGAUUCAAAGUCCCGGUGGAAAGGAGAGAACAAGGCAUGAAUUCAUGACCCUGGCUACUGGCGCUGGUUUUGGUGGGAUCAGUUGUGAACUUGCUAUUGGUAAUCUCUGGGUUAUGGAGUUCUAUAAGUAGAGUGCAUGCCCAUGCAUCCUAGAAAUAAAGCAAAUCUUGUGUUGAUUGUCUUGCGUGUAUCCUGCUGUACCGUACAUCCGCCUUGGCCGUACAGCAGAUCAUAUCUCUGCGAUAUAUAUCCUGAUGGCUAUUUUCUUCAUCAGCUUUUUUGGCAAUAGAUCCUUAUUGUAUAAGUUUGCCCACUCUUUGUAUUUCUUAUGCGUUUGGGCUCAUUUUGGGUUGGGCUUGCAUCCGAAUGUGGAUAGUGGUUUUGACUCUUGAAAAUGGAAUAACAUGCUCAACCAAUUCCUAUGCCCCACAGCAAAUACUAAUAAAAAGUAUGACGUGCCCUUGCGGGAAUGACUACAUCUCAAAGAUAUGGUUGAUUGAGUUAGCUUUAUCCGUGAGUCUUCUUGUUUUAAUUUGAAUCAUAUGUUCAUAUAUGAUAGUCACAGAUAAUAAGAGAUUCUACAGUACGUAUGUGUUUGGUACUUAUUGGACAAUACAAUGCACAGCUAGAUUAAUUUGGAAACCAAUUUGGUGGGGGGAAAGCAGAAAAUAUCCAAUUCUACCAAUUCGCUGGUUGGUACUGAUCGACUAUGCCAACGACCUCCUUUAUCCCCCAACCUCCUUAUUUAUUUUCAAGGACAUCUCUAUUCACUGAUUCACUCAUACAUGACCGAGCAGCUCGCUACAUGAUGGGUUCCAAAAAAAAUUCUGUUAGACUUGUUUUAGGUAUUAGCCCUACUUAAUUAUUUUUGGAAAGUAUAGCUUUUAAAUUCCAACACGAAUGUGCUUAAUAAAUACUUACUGCUAUAAUCUAAAAAUUAAGUUUAUUUUAUUUAUACAAUAAAAAGUCAUAAUAACUUUUAAAAUUAUUACAUAUUACCAUACUUUCUCAUUUUUUUUAAUCACAACACCUCAGUACCAAAUAUAGUGAUAAUUUAUAUUUAAUAAUUGAAUAUUGACUUAUUUUUUUGUCAUAGAUGUCUCACCAUAACUUUAUCAUAUUUCUAGUAUGUUACUGAUACUAAAUAAACUCCUUACACAUGUUUAGCUUUUCUAAUUGCACUACUAGAAAAAUGGGCUACCAUGACAGAGAAUAUCUGUCAUCCGACCCUGUUUAUGACAGAGUUUCUAUCUGUCAUUGUAGCCCCUCUCACAAACUUGUGACAGUAAUUUAUCUAUCAUAGGUAUAUGUGACAGCUUAUAUCUAUCACAAAUGUGUCACAACAAAAGCAACGUCAUUUUAAUAUUUUAGUGGUAAAUUUUUUUUAUUGUGAAAAAUCUUUUGGCGGGUAUUAUUAAUUCAAUUUUAAAUUAUGGCUCGUAAUUAUGUGUCACAACUUUAUGAUUCUAAUAUGGUGUCACGAUGUGAUUUUUUUUAAAAUAAUAAUAUUAUUAAAAGAAUUUUUUUUAAAUUAUAAAUUUGUAAUAUUUUAAAUAAUAUUAAUAUUUUUAAUAAUAAUAAUAAUAUUAUUAUUUUAUAAUUUUAUAAAUUCCAUUGAAAUUUAAAAAUUACAAUAUGUAUAAAAUCAAUACAUCCAAAUUAUCUCAACAAUAUUAUCAAAACAUCACUAAAUCAUCACUUGAAAUAACCAUAACAUUGUCAAAACAUCAUCUAUUCAAUUAUCACAAAUCUACAUCCCAACACUACCAUCUGGAUCAUUACCAGCAUACAAAAACAUCACAACACUAUAUAUCAUCUGAAACACUACCAGGCUGAUCAAGAUUCACUACUAUACUUAAGACUUUAUCAAACAAUAUAGCAUACAAAUUUCACUACCACUUAGACUUUAUCAAGAUUCACUAUCAUUUGGAACAAUACCAGCAUACAAAAUUCACUGCCACUUAGACUUUAUCAAACAAUAUCAUCAUCAACUCCACUGCUCAUACUAUCAGCUCAGACACAAAGGAAGCAUACUCGAGACGCACUUCAUCAAGCUCACUUUGAGUGUAUUCACAUUUCCCUUUAAACUGUCAAAUGAUGAUCACAUGUCAAACUAAAGUAAUUCGUUUAUUCAUUUUGCAGCCCCUAAUAUUAAUAAUUUGAAGUUGACAAUCCUACCUAAUAUGAACAUAGGGAUGACAAAAUGUGGGCUUAGGUCAAGCUUUUCUGAGCCCAAGCCCAUUUUAGUAGAAGCAUGAGGACAAGGCUUGGACUUUCACUUUUUUUUUUUAAUUGUUGUAAAUUUGAAAUGAAUUAAUAAUUAACAAGUUGUUAUAAUUAACAAUGAGUUAAAGAAAUUAAAUAUUUUAAAAUAAAAUAAUAAAUGAAGAAAAUUAAGCAAAUAAAUGCUAAAGAUUUAAUUUUUUUAAUACUGCAUUUUCUAAUUUAAACAUCAUUUUAAUUAAUUACUGCUUAAGAGAGAGAUUAAUAUUAUAAUUUUAGGUUUUGUGAAUCAUUAUUGAUUUAUGAAUUAAGAAUUUAAGUUUUUUUUUUUUAAAUUUUAAUAUAUUGUUCUAAUUUAUAAAUUUAUUUUGUAAAAAAAAAAAUAGAGUGCUGGGCCUAGUCCGAGCAUUUUCUCUUAAGCUCUUAUCUAAUUCCUCGCGUAGAAAGAUGGGCCGAAAGCUUACGGACUUGGGCUAGAUGGGCUUUUUUAUCCACCCUAUUCGCACAUGGUUUUCAUGCAUGUUAAUUUGCCUACAACUACUAAUUCAGUAAAGUUGUAGUGUUACUUGGGCUAGAUGGGCUUUUUUAUCCACCUUGUUCGCACAUGGUUUUCAUGCAUGUUAAUUUGCCUACAACUACUAAUUCAGUAAAGUUGUAGUGUUAAAUCAUCUCCUCAAUAGCAAUUUAAGUGUUGGUGUGGGCACCUAUUCACGCAAUAGCCGACCAGAUUUCUUCAUCAACAGUUUGUAUUUUCUAAUCUUUGAGUUGUAUUUGAAAGAUGGUUAAAGUUGUUCCAGCAUCUUAGUCACAUGAUACAAAGAUAAAAAAAAUUCUCAUAAUCAACUCUCACAUUCCAAAAAUGGGGAAAAUAAUGAUGGUGAUAAUAUUAUGAUCGAUGUUUUUCAGUGAUCUUAUUGUAAGAAGCUUUUUUCCCAAAAAAUCAUGCAUUUGAUUGAGAUCCCACUGCAUUUACAGCAUCUCGAGGCACUUCAUCUCACAUGUUUCUUUCAACAUCAGUGCAUGUUUAGAACUAAAAUUAUGUUGGUUCAUCUUUGGAACUUGUAAGCACUCCUAAGUUGACAUAAACUCUACAUCGACAACUACUUGGCAUCAAGAAUAAAUUCUUGAUUGCGAGGAUGAGUAGUGGUCACAAAUUAACUAACAUUUGGAUAGUUGGGAAAGAAUACAUCUUAUCGAAGGAUUGAGUGAAAGUUGUGUUUGUCUUUAUCCAUGCACAAUUAUUUAUCUUGAUUUGAUGUAUGAGACAAAGCAACCCGUUUUAAAAAUGCAACUCCUUUUAUUUGUGACUAUGUUAUAGUUUGUGCAAACUUUUGUAUUAAUUAUCUCUAUUAUGUCUUUUUUUUAAACAAAGCCUAUAUGUUUUAAUUAUUUAUUUAUGUUAGGAUAUUUUUUAAGUUAUCUAUUUUAUUCACUUGGAUUUUUAUUUCAAAAGAUAUAUCAUUGAAAAGUUUAUUAAAAUAUUUUUGACAAAAAGAAUUUUUGACAAAGUUAUCAAAAAGUAAAUAUUUAUUUUCUAAAAAUAUAAUUUUUAUGAUAACCAAAAAAAUAUAGUACAAUGCAAUGCAAUACCAAACAUAGUAUAAUUAAAAAUUAAUAUAGUACAAUAUAACACUAAAUGCUGCACAAUAUUAAUAAAAUAAAGUGUUAAUGCAAUACAAUAUAAUGCAAUAUGCUUGUAUUAAAAUAAUGCAAAACAUAUAAUAUAAUAACAAUGUACCAAAUGCACCUAUAGUACAUAAUCACACAUGGGUUCUCUUCGGUGGCUGGACCAAACACUUAAAUUUGAGAGGGAUUGGUAAUGACUGUCUCAGUCAUCUGUAAGGACAACUGUUGCUAGCACUCUUCAAAAUUUUAUAUAAAAAUACUUUUUUAAUUAAUGUUUCGGCAUGUGUUUCUAAUCGGGCCCUGCAAAUAAAGUAUUACUCUUUUUUAGAACCUUACUUGUUACCUAUGUCUAACUAGGUCAACAUUUUCUUUUCGAUUAGUUUUUAUAUUGAACGUGAAAAAAAAAAUUAAGGACCAAGACACUAGUCACGAUAGGCGAUUGUCGCUAACACUCCUCAAAUUUUUAUACAAAAAAUACUCUUUUUAGUAUUUCAAAUCCAUGUUUUCUAAUCGGAUCUUGCAAAUAAAGUAUUACUUGUUUCUUGAAAUCGUACCUAUUUGUUACCUACUUCUAACUAAGCCAACAUUUUCUCUUAAAUUAGUUUUCAAUAAUAUUUCGGACCCAUGUUUUUUAAUUGCGUCCCGCAAAUAAAGUUUUACUUUUUUUCUUAAAACCCUACCUACCUAUAACCUAUCUCUAACUAGGCCAACAUUUUUUCUUCAAUUAAUUUAUAUUGAACGUGAAAAAUAUUGAGGACCAUGCACACAUUCAAAAAAAUUAUUGGGAUUCGAAUCAAGUCUCUAAAACCACUAAGUAACAUGUGUACCAUUGGGCUACAAGUGUUUUAUUAUUUAAAAAAUAUUUCUAAAUGCUUUUCAUUUAACUCAUUCAGAAGGUGCUCGGGGCACACUUAAAAAAAAAUGGUUCAGAGGGCUAAAGCCCCUUUUAUGGCAUCUUCUGUCCUUUUCGCGUUGCAGGCUUAACUUUUUGAAAUUAACAACCAGUAAACAUGUUGUCAAAAAUUUUAAUAUACUCGCAAGCGCAUAAAUUUAGAGAUAGAAUAGUGGUAAUGAGGUUGAUCAUACAUGGAUUGUUAUAAAUUAAAAAGUCUAAUUUAAAUUUAAAAUUAAUAUUAAUUCUAACCUAAUUGAGCAAAUUGAAUUUUUAAGAGAAAUUAAACUAAUUAAACUAAAAAAACAAUUAAAGUAAAUGAGAAAUCAAUAAGACAAAAGUUACUAAGAUUUCAUAAUCCACCACUAUUCAACUAAUAAUUAUCUAAUUAUUAAUUAAUCUCCAAUUUUAGAGUGAUAACUCGAAAUCAAUCUAUGUCAUCUCAUGGAUAUAACAAUUAAACCCAAGUAAUUAAAUCUAAUGUAGGUGCUUUUUCUGCUUAAUAGUAUGACAUCUAAGCAUCCCAUGUAAACAUAUUGAAUAACAAAGAGUCAAAGUUUUCCUAAACACUCUAUGUAAACAAUUUAAAGAAAGAUAUAGAAUAAAAAAUAGGGAAAUUAUCACCGGUAUACCCUUAAAUGUCACCGGUAUCAAACGUACUACAAUACUUUUCACUUAUAUCACUCGUAUACCCUAAGUUGACAAAAGAGUUCUGGCGUCCACCUUUCCGUUUACUACCGUUAAGAACUUAAUAGAAUUUGAGCAAAAUGACUAUUUUACCCUUUAAACUCAAAAUGAGGUAAAAAAAUAAAUUUACCUUGAAAAUUAAUGUAAAUUUUCAAUACACAAUUUUUUUUAUUUUGUCAUUAACAAUACAUUUUUUAUUAAAAAAAUAUAAAUUAUUAAUGGUACAUAUUAUUAACAAUUAUCCAUAAAAAAUAUUCAUCUUAUACCAUAAAAAAUUAUUAACAACAUAUUAUUUAUAAUUAUACAUAUUAUACCAUAAAAAACUCAAGUUGGAGCUUGGAGGAGUAGAUCUUCAAUAAUUUUGGUUAAAUUUUGGAAGAGUAAAUUCAGUUGUAAAGUAGCUUUUUUUUUUUUUACAAUUAUUAACAAUUAUCCGAUAAAUGGGAUGACAUGUCAUUUUUAUCAAAAUAUAUCAUAUGACAUGUCAUUUUUUACUAGGUAAAUGGGAUGACAUGUCGUUUUUAAAAAAGACUAGAUCACCCUUAUGAUGUCAGCGCUCGCAAACGGCAGUUAACGGAUCGGUGGACGGCAGAAGUGUUUUGUCAACUUAGGGUAUACGAGUGAUACAUUUAAAAAUGUUAUAACACGUUUGAUACUGAUGUCAUUUAAGGGUAUAUGACUGAUAAUUUCCCUAAAAAAUAAUCAUGUAUAAACUUUAUAGAUCCAAGCAUAGAUUUAAUCAAAUAUUAAUCUUAACAAUUAAUAAUGCAUGACAGAAUUGAUGAAAAGAUUUUAAUAACAUCAAAUUAAUCAUGUGAAAUAAAAACCAUAAUCAUUAAAGCAUACAUGUAGGGAAUUAAUUAAAUAAAAAGAUAAUUAUUUUAUUGAAUAAGAUUUCAUCCUUAACCUCAGUAUAAAAAAAUUAGUUAGAUAUACUUAAAUUGAGAGCAACAAAAAAAUAUAAAAUCAUCCAUUGAAGCCGAACUGCUGCAGCUGAUUUUCUCCCGAAUCGCGUCUGUUCUUUUUUUCCUUCCUCUGGCGGCUACUUUUCAUUCAAAAGCCAAAGGCUUGUUUAUAUAGUCUUUAAAAUGGGCCCCACCUUAUCAAUUCUAAAGCAUAUUUGUUUUGCUUCACUCACGUGCUGGGCACUUAGAAUUGCAAUAGGAUUCUUUUUUCAUUUAUGAAAGCCAAUUGCGGGUCUUUUUUAAAGCUAAAAUCAAAUUCUCUCUUUUGUCCGCAUGUGCAUGAUGAAUUAACUUGUUGAAUUCGGUUCCUUGGCUUGAUUUCCACAUGCAUGUAUGUCUAAUUACUUCCAAAAAUCAAUUAAUCUUUAAUGCUUCCAAAAUUGAGCUCUUUUAUAUCCUUUUUAUCCAUAAUCUCAAAUUAAUUCCCUAUUCAAUAAAACAAUUCAAUUAAUUAAAAAUAAGAAAAAAAAUAACUAGCAAAUAUAUAAGAAAGGGUAAAAUAUGUAUAUAAAUUAUGCUCAUUAAAUACCCCCAAACUUAGAUUUUGCUAGUCCUCGAGCAAAACUAAAACUUAAAACAAAAAUAAAAACAAUGAAACAAAAAGUAAAUCCUAACUAAACUACUUUUCCAAGUAAUCGCGAUUGCAUUUAACGUAUGCAACAAGCCUUUAAACCCCUAGACGGCCCUAGUGGACGAGUUAUAGUCUCGUGAUGGCUUUAGUGACGAUACCCACAAACAUCAUUUUUUUUAAAAAAUAAAUAAAUAAAAAGAACAACAAACUUUAAAUAAAACAUAAAAAUAGCCUCAAAGAUUGCAUAAAUUAUAUAGCUCAAAGAAAAUUUCAAAUAUUGGCAAAGUUCUAAUUUUAAUUCAUUAGUCAAUCCCAUCUCUCUUUUGAUAGUUUUGAAUGACCAAGUCUAUAUUGGCAAACUCUUGAUAGUUUUGAAUGACAAGUCUAUAUAUAACCCCUUGGCCAAACAAGAAACCCCGCAAAGCGUAGGAGAAAUUCAAGAAACUUAAAAUGGAUUCUAUAGUUGAUGGAGAAAGAGACCAAAGCUUUGCAUAUGCUAGUCAAUUGGUGAUGGGUACAGUGCUACCCAUGGCCAUUCAAGCGGUGUAUGAGCUGGGCAUUUUCGAGAUCCUAGACAAAGUUGGUCCUGGUGCAAAGCUCUGUGCUUCAGAUAUUGCAGCCCAAUUGCUCACCAAGAACAAAGACGCACCCAUGAUGCUGGAUCGGAUUCUCAGGCUUCUGGCUAGCUACAGCGUUGUUGAAUGCUCACUUGAUGCUUCUGGUGCCCGGAGACUAUAUAGUUUGAAUUCUGUCUCCAAAUACUAUGUGCCUAACAAAGAUGGCGUCUUACUAGGCCCC